UUCAUGGUAACAGGCGUUCUGAAAGAAGCCGGCGGCAAAGUUUCGGCCCUAGGAACACGAAUUGCAUCAGGCCAUAUACGGAGAUGAGCGUGCCAACCAGCGCAAAUCGUAACAGCUGCGGGAGACUGUAUAGGGUAAAUGCGACGGGAAGAUGGAGUGAAAGAUGUAUGAC
Non-coding RNA from Faecalibaculum rodentium, 172 nucleotides. Lineage: Bacteria; Bacillati; Bacillota; Erysipelotrichia; Erysipelotrichales; Erysipelotrichaceae. The record is from Rfam.